RNAcentral lists this ribosomal RNA (495 nucleotides) under uncultured Sphingobacteriales bacterium. RNAcentral describes it as "bacterial SSU rRNA". It matches the Rfam family "Bacterial small subunit ribosomal RNA", at positions 885 to 1382 of the family's 1533-position model. The record is from RNAcentral. Lineage: Bacteria; Pseudomonadati; Bacteroidota; Sphingobacteriia; Sphingobacteriales.
GCCAGCCCGCUCAGAAACUCAAAUGAAUUGACGGGGCCCGCACAAGCGGUGGAGCAUGUGGUUUAAUUCGAUGAUACGCGAGGAACCUUACCUGGGCUCAAAUGUAUGUUGACGUAUUCUGAAAGGGAUACUUCUUCGGACAAUAUACAAGGUGCUGCAUGGUUGUCGUCAGCUCGUGCCGUGAGGUGUCGGGUUAAGUCCCAUAACGAGCGCAACCCCUAUCAUUAGUUGCCAUCAGGUCAAGCUGGGGACUCUAAUGAAACUGCCUACGCAAGUAGUGAGGAAGGUGGGGAUGACGUCAAAUCAGCACGGCCCUUACGUCCAGGGCUACACACGUGCUACAAUGGCCGGUACAAAGGGCAGCUACCUGGUGACAGGAUGCUAAUCUCAAAAGCCGGUCCCAGUUCGGAUUGCAGGCUGAAACUCGCCUACAUGAAGUUGGAGUUGCUAGUAAUCGCGAAUCAGAAUGUCGCGGUGAAUGCGUUCCCGGGUCUU